Onychostoma macrolepis is the source of this 1208-nucleotide long non-coding RNA. RefSeq lists it as uncharacterized. Lineage: Eukaryota; Metazoa; Chordata; Actinopteri; Cypriniformes; Cyprinidae. The record is from RefSeq and is a predicted model, not a curated record. The transcript is spliced from 2 exons.
GUGACACCGGGCCGGCUUUGGGUUUACCCGUUAUGGGUAUAAUGAGCGCCAGCUGAAGCAAAUAACGAGCGCUUCAUUGAAGCAUCUGCCCGGGAAAAAGGAGGAUAAAAGAGAGAGGCUGGAAGGACAGAGGGUGUGUGCCUGGAGAGAGAAGACGUUCUGAGUAGUGUGCAGCAGUGACAGUGAGCAGCGGAAAGGGCGGAAAAGCUGAGGUUUAAUGUCAGAUCGGUGUUCAUUGUUGGGUCCCCCGAGGCAUGCUCAUUAAGUGAGUCCUUUGAAGAAACCACGAACAGCACCGCAACGGAGUGAGUGAGAGAAAUUGCAUGGAGAAAGAAGGAGAGUGACUGGCAGAACAGAGAGUGGGAAUACGCCACAAGGAUUCAUGUGAUUCACCGAGGAAAAGUUAAGUGCACCCUUUAUUGAUUCACUUCUCUGAGAAAACCACAUGUGAAGAUUCACCAGCACCAGUGUACGACUAACCUGUGUUUGUGGGCAGUGUGUGUCAUCUUGUUGACAGUGAGGAACAGUAACUGUGAACGGCUGGGAAGAUCGCUGAAUCCAUGUCCAUGUUCUGAACACCAUUAAUCCUUGAGACAUCCACCCUAUGAAGAGAAGAGAAACAAGUUGCUUAACUGCUGUGAAGAGAGAGUGAGUUUGCAGUGUCUGAGAGUGAUUUAAACACGUGUGAAGCUUUACAAGAGUGAUUUAUGCACAAGUGUGCUGUGUCUAGAUCCCUGAAGUUGUGCGCGCAGUGCGGAGGAGAGAAUCCCAGUGCACUUAAAGUGCCACAGUUCACGUAACGCUGUGUUCCAUCAAAGGAGGCCAGUCCCACUCUUUCUCCCAACGACGCCGUUCUACCAUGCACAGAACGAGAGCGUAGGCUGGUAAAGUACCCCGAUUUCAUCUUACCUGCUAAUGUCCGUCUCACUGUCCAUUUGUCUGUUCCUGUAAGGAAGCCAAGAAAAAGCAGUUACUGCUGGAAGUGGAGUGGUAGCUCCACGAGCACGACAACGAAGCCGAACGAGGGAAGCCACUGUCUGUCCCACGAGCAGCCUAGAGAAGAAUAUACUUACCAAGAGCACGGGAAUAGUACCUACCAGCACCCCUCUCCCCUCUCUUCAUUAAAGCCACAGCCACGACCAUCCCCCCUCCCCCUCCCCCUGCUUUUAUCCCUUUUAACCUAAAUAAAAACUUGCCUUUUAACUUUA